Molecule: long non-coding RNA, 1647 nt
Organism: Gossypium arboreum
Lineage: Eukaryota; Viridiplantae; Streptophyta; Magnoliopsida; Malvales; Malvaceae
Exons: 2
Source: RefSeq, a predicted model, not a curated record
AUAUAUAUAUAUAUAUUUUUCUCUUUUGUUAAGCCUUUUGCUAAUUUGUUUUGCCUCCUUGUCGUCCCACCCUUUCAUUUUCUCUCUUCUUCCUUAGUUUUUCUCUCAUUUCUUCUUCACUGUGUCGCCUUAACCCUAAUUAUUUUGCAACCUUGUACCAUCCAUUCUUUUUUUCUAUACCAUUGUUGUUGUCACCCCUCUGCUGCCAUUUUUUUCUUCUCCAUUAUCGCUGUCCUAGUGAUCAAACACCACCUUUGUCGUUGCCAUCCCUUUGCUUCUUUUCUUCUACUCUCUUUGUUAUUCUAUUAUCGUAGAUCUAAGUCGAAAACUUUUAGGGCUGUGUGCAUCUUUCGUUUGAUCGAUAGAGGAGUAAGUGAUCACGGAAACUCAGUUCUGAAAUUUUAGUUUGUUUCUUGAUUUGGCUGAACCCUAUAUGGGUGUUGAAGGUUAGUUAUAACCGUGUUUUGUGUGUGUUAUGUAUAGAUCUGAUCAAGAUCUAUCUAGAUCUAAACGUAGGAGCUGCAGGAUAGAUAGUGCUUCGGUUUCACGUUAAUCAGAUGUUGAUCUUACCUUUGGGUGUUUUGGUAAUUAUUGAAUUAUGUGAUAUGCAUGUUGGUCAAUUGUACAUAUUGAUUUUAUGCAUGGCCAAAUGGCUUUGUGUUGGAUAAGAGAUUGUUGAUUAUGGUAAGUGUUAAAAGGUGACGGCCGAAUGUUUAAGAAUAUUUGUUUUUGAUUAAUUGGAUGUGUAAGUGCCGAAUGUAUUUUUUGAUUGUACGUUUAUUGGUAUGUAUGAUGAGUUACAGUUGAUUGAUUGCAUGAAAACAAACAUGUCAUUGAUUCUUACUAUAUUUAUCUAUUGUAUGUAAAGCAUACCACUGAUAUUGUUUCACUGAAUGCAUGUAUAGCAUGCCACCAUACUGAAAUUGUUACUGAUAGUGCAUGAUGUGCUACAUUGUUACAUGUCAUAUUGCAUUGCAUGGGUUUUGGGAUUUGAUGGGUGGCAAAGAAGUUCCAUGUAGUACCAAAGGAUUAUCUGCAUUAUUAUUUUAGCUGAAUAUAUGUACCCCAGAGUAUUUUUGGAGUACUGGCGACUUAUUGCAACUUACUGGCAGUUUGUCUACAACUAUUGACAGUUUAAUUGCAUAUUGAUAUUGGUGGUUUAUCCACAUCGAGCUUCGGCUCUUAUUGCUUUUGGUCUUUGAAUGACAAGCUUUGGAAAAAUCAUGGUGUGUAGUGGAUGGAUGGGUAGGACCUUUGCACUGAUUUGCAUUUGAACAUUCCCAUACAUAUUCACUAUUUAUUGAAUUGCUAAGAUCUAUUAGGAACAUUGAUAUUAAUGGCUAUGUAUUGUACUGUGAUUGUUUGAAUGUUUGUAUUAUUAUUGUUUGUUUUGUUAAGACUCACACUAAGAUUUUCAAGCUCACCCCUUUAGUUUACUUCUUACAGAUAACCUUCAAUGUUAGCAUUGGACUUGGCAUACGAAGGUCUCGUCUGAAAUUUUUAGUUAAUAAAAUAUUUUUAUUUUACUUUAUUUAUUUCGGUUUUUUUGGGACUGUAAAUUUUGUUAAUAUGGAUUGUGGCAUGGGUUGUUUUUAUUUGGUUUUUGCAUGUAUGAAAUUUUGGAUAAAAAUCGAGAAAAUUUAAUAA